AGACCCGAAACCCGGUGAUCUAGCCAUGGGCAGGUUGAAGGUUGGGUAACACUAACUGGAGGACCGAACCGACUAAUGUUGAAAAAUUAGCGGAUGACCUGUGGCUGGGGGUGAAAGGCCAAUCAAACCGGGAGAUAGCUGGUUCUCCCCGAAAGCUAUUUAGGUAGCGCCUCGUGAAUUCAUCUCCGGGGGUAGAGCACUGUUUCGGCUAGGGGGCCAUCCCGGCUUACCAACCCGAUGCAAACUGCGAAUACCGGAGAAUGUUAUCACGGGAGACACACGGCGGGUGCUAACGUCCGUCGUGAAGAGGGAAACAACCCAGACCGCCAGCUAAGGUCCCAAAGUCAUGGUUAAGUGGGAAACGAUGUGGGAAGGCCCAGACAGCCAGGAUGUUGGCUUAGAAGCAGCCAUCAUUUAAAGAAAGCGUAAUAGCUCACUGGUCGAGUCGGCCUGCGCGGAAGAUGUAACGGGGCUAAACCAUGCACCGAAGCUGCGGCAGCGAACGUAUCACUUAAAGCGAUUCAGCGGAUGACGAUUGACGGAGCGAAGCGACGUCAAAGCGUAUACAAAGUCGAGUCGGUUUAAGGAUACGUUCGUUGGGUAGGGGAGCGUUCUGUAAGCCUGUGAAGGUGGCCUGUGAGGGUUGCUGGAGGUAUCAGAAGUGCGAAUGCUGACAUAAGUAACGAUAAAGCGGGUGAAAAGCCCGCUCGCCGGAAGACCAAGGGUUCCUGUCCAACGUUAAUCGGGGCAGGGUGAGUCGACCCCUAAGGCGAGGCCGAAAGGCGUAGUCGAUGGGAAACGGGUUAAUAUUCCCGUACUUGGUGUUACUGCGAAGGGGGGACGGAGAAGGCUAUGUUGGCCGGGCGACGGUUGUCCCGGUUUAAGCGUGUAGGUGUGUGUUCCAGGUAAAUCCGGUUCACUUUAACAC
This 928-nucleotide ribosomal RNA is filed under the name Salmonella enterica subsp. enterica serovar Bovismorbificans. RNAcentral's name for it is "partial 23S ribosomal RNA". It matches the Rfam family "Bacterial large subunit ribosomal RNA", at positions 711 to 1556 of the family's 2925-position model. Lineage: Bacteria; Pseudomonadati; Pseudomonadota; Gammaproteobacteria; Enterobacterales; Enterobacteriaceae. The record is from RNAcentral.